CACCGGGCUGGCGGAGUAGGCA
Molecule: microRNA, 22 nt
Filed under: Pteropus alecto (black flying fox)
Lineage: Eukaryota; Metazoa; Chordata; Mammalia; Chiroptera; Pteropodidae
Description: pal-miR-10004-5p
Source: miRBase by way of RNAcentral